This 253-nucleotide ribosomal RNA is filed under the name uncultured bacterium. RNAcentral's name for it is "partial 16S ribosomal RNA". It matches the Rfam family "Bacterial small subunit ribosomal RNA", at positions 524 to 776 of the family's 1533-position model. The record is from RNAcentral.
UACAGAGGGGGCAAGCGUUGUUCGGAAUUACUGGGCGUAAAGGGCGCGUAGGCGGCCUGCUAAGUCGAACGUGAAAUCCCCGGGCUCAACCCGGGAACUGCGUCCGAUACUGGCAGGCUUGAAUUCGGGAGAGGGAUGCGGAAUUCCAGGUGUAGCGGUGAAAUGCGUAGAUAUCAGGAAGAACACCCGUGGCGAAGGCGGCUCUCUGGGACGGUACUGACGCUGAGACGCGAAAGCGUGGGGAGCGAACAGG